This 785-nucleotide ribosomal RNA is filed under the name uncultured soil bacterium. RNAcentral describes it as "bacterial SSU rRNA". It matches the Rfam family "Bacterial small subunit ribosomal RNA", at positions 8 to 796 of the family's 1533-position model. The record is from RNAcentral.
AGAGUUUGAUCAUGGCUCAGGACGAACGCUGGCGGCGCGCUUAACACAUGCAAGUCGAGCGAGAACCAGGCCUUCGGGCCUGGGGAAAGCGGCGAACGGGUGAGUAACACGUGGGUAAUCUGCCCUCGGCACCGGGAUAGCCCGGGGAAACCCGGAUUAAUACCGGAUGGCCUCUCGAGCUUUCGGGCUCGUGAGAAAAGGUAGCUUCGGCCUCUGGCCGAGGAGGAGCCCGCGGCGGAUUAGCUUGUUGGUGGGGUAACGGCCCACCAAGGCGACGAUCCGUAGCUGGUCUGAGAGGAUGAUCAGCCACACUGGGACUGAGACACGGCCCAGACUCCUACGGGAGGCAGCAGUGGGGAAUCUUGCGCAAUGGGCGAAAGCCUGACGCAGCGACGCCGUGUGCGGGAAGAAGGCCUUUCAGGUCGUAAACCCCUUUCGGCAGGGACGAAGCGAUCUCGUGACGGUACCUGCAGAAGAAGCCUCGGCUAACUACGUGCCAGCAGCCGCGGUAACACGUAGGAGGCGAGCGUUGUCCGGAAUCAUUGGGCGUAAAGAGCGCGUAGGCGGCUUGGCAAGUCGGGUGUGAAAUCCCGGGGCUCAACCCCGGGACUGCAUUCGAUACUGUCAGGCUAGAGGUAGGUAGGGGAGAUCGGAAUUCCUGGUGUAGCGGUGAAAUGCGCAGAUAUCAGGAGGAACACCAGUAGCGAAGGCGGCUCGCUGGGCCGUUCCUGACGCUGAGACGCGAAAGCUAGGGGAGCGAACAGGAUUAGAUACCCCCGUAGUCC